This 373-nucleotide unclassified non-coding RNA is filed under the name Hevea brasiliensis (rubber tree). The record is from RNAcentral. Lineage: Eukaryota; Viridiplantae; Streptophyta; Magnoliopsida; Malpighiales; Euphorbiaceae.
AAAUUAAUUUAAAAUUAAAAUUUUAAAUUUGAAAUAUAUGUGAAACUGAGGCCAACUUUGGAUGUUUGGUUUAAUUUGCUGUUCCACUUUAUCCUCUGAAGUAAUUUACAUUCUACCAAUUUAUCACAAAAUCUCAAUUGACCAAAAUGUCCUAAUAGUUGGACGCAUUUCCAAGGGCAAUUUGGGAAUGAAACGAAAAGGGCUAUUAUAAAGGGCAGAUGUAUAAACGAAGAAAAUCAAAUUAGAAUGAGGCUUUGCUCUCGGAGAGGUUGAUGGGUUUUCUUGGUAGGGUGGUCGUCUCCGUCUCCGAAUGGCUGCGGAGCCGAUGAUUUCACCUUGGAUUCUGUAAAGUCAACUGCCCUAUGUGUAUCUC